Molecule: long non-coding RNA, 452 nt
Filed under: Helianthus annuus (common sunflower)
Lineage: Eukaryota; Viridiplantae; Streptophyta; Magnoliopsida; Asterales; Asteraceae
Description: sRNA HanXRQr2_Chr05g0194501
Source: RNAcentral
UUGUGUCUGUACUUUGUCUGUAUUCGGUCUGUAUGUAAACGAUGUCCUAAAUCAGUCUGUAAGUUGACCAAGUCAACUAUCCUCCUAGUUUGACUUGGACAACAUGAUGUUGUCUGGAUCGAAGGAUAGCCUCGAAGGAUACAACUGAUCCUUCGAGGUGCUCGAAAGAUAUGGUUCGACCAUGGUUCGACCAUUAGGCAUCGAAGGAUGAUCCUUCGAUGUCCAUGCUGAUCUUUCGGACACAUUGUCAUCGACAGAUGAUCCUUCGGACCAUCUAUCGAUCCUUCGACCAAGACCUGUUAUAUGCACAUUUGGAGAGUUAGUGAAACUCUGCUGGAAAACACACACACACACACACUUUAGAGAGUUUGCAAACAAGAUUGUAAACAUUGUGCUUGUAACCGUAAACCUUCAUACGUAUUAAUACAGUGGUGUUAAUCGGUGAACUUUGU